GUUUUGCAUGAGGAACAUCGACUUUUUGGUAAAAUUUUUUGUCGCUCGAUCGAACGUAAACCAAUCGGAUUGUCGUGAAUUUAUCGUUAUUUGAUUUUGGCGCGCUUUUCUCAAAUAAUAUUUUACUGCAGCCAUGUUGGAGCAGUCGUGUAUAGGACGCGGCGUGCGUUUCGAUGUACCUUUGCCUCUUAAGUUUUUUAAUUUAAUUAUACUCAUUAUAUUUUAUAUCGAUACUUCGGCAUAUAAGGAACAAUUAAUUUUGCUUUUAAUAAAGAAAAUGUGAGACUGAGAAACGUUUUAUCGACAUACUCGUAUUCUAAGUGUUCAUUCGUUCGAAUUGGAGGUUAUAAACUCUCGCGUGCUGCCGUUGACGAACGCGCGCGAUUAAUAAGUUUUAAGAGAAAAGGAAAAAAAAGAAAAAAAAAAAAAGAAGAAGAAAAAGAUGAAUUUCUCUGGAAAUAAUAUUAUUCAAGGCACAUUGCCUCAAUUUUCCGAGUUAACAUCGCGAUCGAAUUCUACUUCUAACGUUGAAUUUAAUCAUAACGGAAACAACAGUAGCAGUGCAUUAGAAUUACCAACGGUUCAAAAUUCUAUUUACACUACGGUCGCAGGUUCGAAUCAGAAUAAACAACAAUUUCUUGUAAACUCACAGAAUAAAUACCCUGGAUCUUUAUUUACUUGGCCGGAUUCUAAUACUCUUAUGCAGCUGUGCGAGAAACAGGGUAUACAAGCAAUCAACAUUCCUAAUUAUAAUCAGUGCAAUCCUUCUUCGAUAAUCAACGUCCAAUCAAAUACUCUCCCAGUAAGGAUUAUACCUAAUGUGUACUUACCUUCGACGUCUCAAAUAGAUACUCAAAAGGAAGAGAAUAAGACUGACAAUGAUACGAGAAAUUCUGAUGAGCAGGAAGCUGCUCAAUUGGUACAAGGUUCUAAUAUGACCGAAUAUCUUCAAAAGUUGCAAGCUACGACACUGCCAUUAACAUUACAACAAUUAAUAAAAUUACAAACUGAACAAAUUAAGAAAGAUAAGACGGAGGAAGAGAAAUCUGAACAUAAUCAGAACAAUAUUUUAAACAUUCCUAGCGUAUCGGUAUUUAGAAAUUCACAGACACAAAAUGGAAAUAAUUUUAUGAAUUCCGAGCAUAUGAUGAUAACAUUGAAUCCUAAUGAUUUUAACGUACAUUUGCUUUCGAAUCAACAAGAUAAUGAUAAUAAUGGGCAGAUUGUAAAGGUAGAGCAACAGGUACAAACGGAUUCGCCGAAAGUAGAAAAGAAAAUGAAAUUUCGGGCAAAAACCGGGGAGAUCAAAAUCAGCGUUGCUUUAGACGGUUCAAGAGUUUAUUGCUGUCCAGAGUGCAAUUUAGUUUUUCCUGAAAAAUCCGAGAUAGAUCAGCAUAUACAAGCACACAUACAGGAACGAAAAUAUCAAUGCAAGGAGUGCGGAGCGAUGUUAAAGAGAAAAGAGCAUUUGGAUCAGCAUAUGCGAGGUCAUUCCGACGAAAGACCAUAUAAAUGUCCUGUCUGUGAGAAAGCUUUCAAAAGGAAUGAACAUUUGACGAGACAUUACGUUAUUCAUUCCGGUGAUAAAAAUUUUUCUUGCACCGUAUGUCAAAAGGCUUUUUCACGAAAGGACCAUUUGAAUAAACACACUCAAACACAUUUGGGCAUUAAAAAGAGUAAAAGCAAGAAGGAUUUAUUUUUUAUAGAACAGAAAGAACCCUUUGAUAAAGCCGUUGAAUUAUCGACAAUGCCUAAGCAACAAGAUGUUGUCAUAAAAGAUGAUCCCAUUAAACAGGAAACUGAUUUUCUUCAUCAUCUUCAUAAUCUUCAGAAAGAUCAAGUACUAUCAAAUACUUUCUCGUCGUUUAAAGAACAAUCCUUAAAAGAAGUAACGACACUUCAGCAACCGCUUGUGAACAUGAACGAAGUCUUGCCGCAAAAUACAAGAUUCUACUCUCUAACAUGGAAAUGCGAACGCGCGGUCGUGGGUAAUGCCGUUAGUGUGCGAAGUAAUCCGAUUAGAUCGUGUAAUUAAUUUUGUACUAUCGGAUUACCAGACACGAAACAAAAUUUCUAUCUCUUUCGUCGUUGGUCGCAAGGUCGCACAGUCUAGAUGAGAAACCAAUUCGAUACGUAGCUUCGAUCAAUCCAGGAGGUGAUACGAUUGAGAAUGAUAUCUUGAGGGAGAAAAAAUGAAAUGAAAAGAAGAAGAAGAAGAAGAAGAAGAAAAAGAAAAAGAAGAAGAAGAAGAAAGAAAAGAAAAGAAAAAGUUGAAAAGGACAAAAUAAAUGAUUGAACAAUUAAAACGUAUAAAAAUGAAGGUUUUCAUCGAAGGAUAAAAGAUUCGUUGGGUCGUUGGCCGACUACAAAAACGAAAAGCUCGUGUUUUUGAGGUCAAGAAUUUCCUUUGGAAAAAUUGUUUUUUUCACACCCACUUAGAAAAUUAUGGGAUAAUAAUCGUUGACUGAUAAAAAUUAAGCAAAUAAAAAGGCAAGAAAUCAUGACAGCUGAUAACUGAUAGGAUACCUAGGACGAUCGAUUGGCAAGACAGAGAAAGAAACAGAGAGAGAGAGAGAGAGAGAGAGAAAAAGAGAAGAGUAUAUCCCGUUGGAUAGAGAAAUCACGUGGACGAAAUGGCACCCUCGAUGGUCA
Vespa crabro (European hornet) is the source of this 2652-nucleotide RNA transcript. It is a transcript of the gene named zinc finger protein 26-like, with no coding region annotated. The record is from RefSeq and is a predicted model, not a curated record. The transcript has 6 exons. Lineage: Eukaryota; Metazoa; Arthropoda; Insecta; Hymenoptera; Vespidae.